GGGACCAGCUUCUGGAGACGGGUGGUCCAGGUGACAGCCAGCACAGAUCACCAGACCUGUGCGUGAAGCCAUAUACCCCUGGUGGGGCCGCCCAGAGGACAGCAGGAGAACUACUCGGAUGGACCCAGUUCACAUUGCUGACCCACGGGAUUGUGAGCAAAGAAAAGAAUGUCUGUGUUCCCGGCGCUGAGGUUUGGAGUGAUUUUCCACGCAGGAGCUGAUAACAGACACCUGGAGAGGAGUGCGACCAGGGAAACUCGAGAAGGCUCAGGCUGCAGCACUCGGGCUCUGGUGCCUGGUGUCUGCUUGUGUCCAUGGCUCUCAGAGGCAAGGCUGCGUGUCCCUACUUGGAGGAAGCUGCAGGCUCCCUGCCUGCCUAGGAGGCCACCUUUUCUGGCUCAGGGGGGCUGGUGGUAUGUGGUCCCCGUGGGACACUCACUUCAGAGAAGCACUUGCAGCCCCUUGGGCCUGUUCCCCUGAGAUCCCUGAGACAGGCCCCAGGACUUCAGCACAGAAUGGAUUGGGCACAGAACGUUUUGUGGGGGUUGCUGCUGGGGCUUUCUUGCACCUGCUCUAAACAGCCUUCUAAGCUAGUUUACUCUGGGUCCUACUGGCUGACUGCUGUUUUCAUGAUGGAGAUUGAGAAUUGAAAUGCUUUCCCUACUUUUCCCUCUCCUCAUUCCCUCAACCCACAUUCUCCUUGCCUUCCUGCUCCAGCCUGCAUUUGGCUGGAGCAUUUCCCAGCUCUGUGAAGCCAAAUCAUGCCUAGCUAGGAAUCGGGGGCUUGGAUUCUGUCCCUGAGUCACUGGGAUCUCAAGUGAGCUUCUUCAUCCCUCAGCAUUCUGGAGUCUGUUGAAGCCUGGCAACUUCCAGGGCAAGUCUUGGACAAUAAGUUGUAAUUGCAGGUGACCCUCGAACAGCAUGGGGGUUAGGGGCACCGACCUCCCGUGAAGUCGGAAAUCCGCGUGUGACUUUACAGUUGGCCCUCCAUACCCACGGUGCUGCAUCUGCGGAUUCAACCAACUGCAGAUUGUGUAGUAAUGUAGUACAUAUUUAUUGAAAAAGAUCUGAUAUAAGUGACUCGUGCAGUGAAAUCCAUGUUGUUCAAGGGUCAGCUGUACUCUCCAUCAAUUUCAGCUGAUAACAUAAUAGCAGUUACCACGUCCCAUGGCAGGCGGCCAGUUGCCUGUUCCUAGAGCAGCUUGCACACAGCUUGUGGGAGCAAGGAUCCUAUUUUCUGAAUACUGGGAUCCGUGUUCUGAACCCUGGUUACUGCUUCUGAUCGUGGAGGUGCAGACAGGCACGCAGUCAUGAUCGCACAGCCCCACCAUCAUUGCAAGCCCUUUCCCCUCAACGGAAGCAACACUGGGAGAUUUAAAGGGCCAACGAUUUUUUUUUUUUUGAUCCACCCUCCCCACCCCCUCAUUUUCCUUUUCCCCUUUUGGGAGCCAGACAUUGAAGACAAGGGCAUUCAAGAGCAACUACAGACAGAAUUAGCCAGGGGAAGGCACAGACUCAGAAAAUGUCGGAGAAAACCUUAAAUUUACACCUCACGCUGAUCCUUCACACACAGAUGGUCCUGUAACCAUCAAACAGCAAACGCUGGGGAAGGGGGAGAAUCUGAUUUUCAGAAUGACCACAUUAUUAGACUCAAAUGUUGGUUUCAACAGCAACAAAAAUCACAAGGCAUACAAAGAAAUGGCCUAUUCAAAGGGGAAAAAACCAACAGAAACUUUCCCUGAGAAAGACCAGAUGGCAGACCUACUAGACAAAGUUUAAAAACAACUGUUAUAAAGAAGCUCAAAGAACUAAAGGAAGAUGAGGGAAAAGUCAAGAAAACGAUAUGUGAAUCAAGUGGAAAUCGCAAUAUAGAGCUAGAAAACCUAACAGGAAACUCGAAACAAUUCUAAAGUUGAAAACAAUAAUGAUGGAAAUGAAUAAUUCACCAAAGAGAUUCAACAGCAGAUUUGAGCAGGCAGAAGAAUGCUCACAUCUUGAAGGCAGAAUACCUGAAAUUAUCGAGUCUGAGGAACAGAAAGAAAAGAGAUGGAUGAAAAGUGAACAGAGCCCAAGGGACCAGUGGGACCAUCAAGCAGAUCUAUGCACACACUGUGAGACUCCCAGACGGAAAAGAGAGAAAGGGGCAGAGAGAAUAUGUGAAGAAAUAAUGGCCAAAAACUUCCCAAGUUUUAUGAAAGACAUAAACAUCCAAGAAGCUCAACAAACUCCAUGUAAGAUGAACUCAGAGACCCACACAAAGACACGUGAUAAUGAAACCAUCAAAAGCCCAAGAAAAUCUGGAAAGCAGCAAGAGAGAAGCAACUCAGCACAUGUAGGGGGUCCUCAAUAAGGUAAUGAGCAGACUUCUCAUCAGAAACAUUGGCAUCCGGAAGGCAGUGGGUUGAUAAGCUAAAAAAAAAAACGCCACAGUCAGGAAUCCCACAUCUGGGGCUUCCCUGGCGGCGCAGUGGUGAAGAAUCCACCUGCCAGUGCAGGGGACACAGGUUCGUGCCCCGGUCCAGGAAGAUCCCACAUGCCGUGGAGCACCUAAGCCCGUGCGCCACAACUACCUAGCCUGCACUCUAGAGCCCGUGCUCUGCAACAAGAGAAGCCACUGCAAUGAGAAGACCGCGCACUGCAAUGAAGAGUAGCCCUUGCUCGCUGAAACUAGAGAAAGACCGUGCAGCUACGAAGACCCAGCACGGCC
Molecule: long non-coding RNA, 2707 nt
Filed under: Phocoena sinus (vaquita)
Lineage: Eukaryota; Metazoa; Chordata; Mammalia; Artiodactyla; Phocoenidae
Description: lncRNA (ENSPSNG00000011153.1)
Source: RNAcentral